AUUGAAACACCAGUUCUCAUAUGAUCACCAAAGUUAAGCAACAUUGAGCUUGGUCAAUACCUUGAUGGGUGACUGCUUGAGAAUAUCAGGUGCUGUAAG
Non-coding RNA from Acanthosepion pharaonis, 99 nucleotides. NCBI's taxonomy places the organism in Eukaryota, Metazoa, Mollusca, Cephalopoda, Sepiida, Sepiidae. The record is from the annotation of a GenBank genome assembly.